ACUUGGGCCCUUUCAACUUUCCCUCUGGUCCUUCAAUGUUAACAUCAGGGCCUUCAACGUCCACUUUGGGGCCUGAGACAUCAACGUCAGCCUUGGGCAGGUUCACAUCCACUUCAGGGCCCUCUGCUUUGAAGCCAGGCAUGCUGAACUUGGGCAUUUUCAUCUUGGGCAUCUUCAGGUGCCAAUCUGGGCCAUGAACAUCCACAUCUGGAGCACUAAUGUCAACUUUGGGCCCUUUAAUGUCAACAUCUGGCACUUUCAUUUCACCUUCUACC
RNAcentral lists this long non-coding RNA (275 nucleotides) under Homo sapiens (human). RNAcentral's name for it is "HSALNT0176182". Lineage: Eukaryota; Metazoa; Chordata; Mammalia; Primates; Hominidae. The record is from RNAcentral.